CAGUGCUCUGAAUGUCAAAGUGAAGAGAUUCAUUAAAGCGCAGGUAAAC
Molecule: ribosomal RNA, 49 nt
Filed under: Ixodes scapularis (black-legged tick)
Lineage: Eukaryota; Metazoa; Arthropoda; Arachnida; Ixodida; Ixodidae
Description: eukaryotic large subunit ribosomal RNA
Source: RNAcentral